ACCAGUGCCAUAGUGGAUACUGUGUCUGACUAUGGAUCAGGAGGUUUUAGGUUCGCAUCCCAGUUCUUGGGG
This 72-nucleotide transfer RNA is filed under the name Scleropages formosus (Asian bonytongue). RNAcentral's name for it is "tRNA-His". Lineage: Eukaryota; Metazoa; Chordata; Actinopteri; Osteoglossiformes; Osteoglossidae. The record is from RNAcentral.